UAUGUGAUCGUCUCUCGCAUAUCAAUAAGCGGAGGAAAAGAAACUAACAAGGAUUCCCCUAGUAACGGCGAGUGAAGCGGGAAGAGCUCAAACUUUGAAAUCUUAAAGGGUUUCCCUUUACGAAUUGUAGUUUAAAGAAGUGUUUUCUGUUGAGGUUUUGGUAAAAGUUCUUUGGAAUAGGACAUCAUAGAGGGUGAGAAUCCCGUAUUUGACCUUUACUUUCAACUUUGUGAUACACUUUCAAAGAGUCGGAUUGUUUGGGAAUGCAGUCCAAAAUGGGUGGUAAAUUUCAUCUAGAGCUAAAUAUUGGCGAGAGACCGAUAGCGAACAAGUACCGUGAGGGAAAGAUGAAAAGAACUUUGAAAAGAGAGUUAAACAGUACGUGAAAUUGUCAAAAGGGAAGCGCUUUGACACCAGUGUUGUUUUUCUGAAAAUCAAUUAAAGAACUGUUUAUGCUAAGUUGUUUAGACUUUAUCAGCUAUCUGUUUAGUUUUGAGCUUUUCUUUAAUGCACUUUUCAGUUAACAAGUCAACAUCAAUUUCUUUUGCUGUAAAAAAGCUUGAGGAAGGUGGCUUGAGAUUCGUCUUAAGUGUUUAUAGCCUCUUGCCUAUGCAGUCGGAGAGAUUGAGGUCUGCAGCGUAGAUCCUUCGGGGCUAAAUGCAUUUGUGCUAAGUUAUAGCAUUUUAUAGACAACUUGUUGACUAUGAUUUGUCUUGUAGCUUACUCGCUUAUGUUAUUUUACCUACGCUUAGGAUGUUGAUCUACAGAGCGAGAGU
RNAcentral lists this ribosomal RNA (776 nucleotides) under uncultured Neocallimastigales. Its description in RNAcentral is "partial large subunit ribosomal RNA". It matches the Rfam family "Eukaryotic large subunit ribosomal RNA", at positions 24 to 645 of the family's 3401-position model. Lineage: Eukaryota; Fungi; Neocallimastigomycota; Neocallimastigomycetes; Neocallimastigales. The record is from RNAcentral.